UACAGAGGGUGCAAGCGUUAAUCGGAAUUACUGGGCGUAAAGCGUGCGUAGACGGUUAUGUAAGUCAGAUGUGAAAGCCCCGGGCUUAACCUGGGAAUGGCAUUUGAGACUGCAUAGCUAGGGUGCGGAAGAGGGAAGCGGAAUUUCCGGUGUAGCGGUGAAAUGCGUAGAUAUCGGAAGGAACACCAGUGACGAAAGCGGCUUCCUGGUCCAGCACCGACGUUCAGGCACGAAAGCGUGGGGAGCAAACAGG
Molecule: ribosomal RNA, 253 nt
Filed under: uncultured bacterium
Lineage: Bacteria
Description: partial 16S ribosomal RNA
Rfam family: Bacterial small subunit ribosomal RNA
Source: RNAcentral